RNAcentral lists this ribosomal RNA (478 nucleotides) under Pseudacris hypochondriaca (Baja California treefrog). Its description in RNAcentral is "partial 12S ribosomal RNA". It matches the Rfam family "Bacterial small subunit ribosomal RNA", at positions 801 to 1522 of the family's 1533-position model. The record is from RNAcentral. Lineage: Eukaryota; Metazoa; Chordata; Amphibia; Anura; Hylidae.
CGUAAACUUUUAACUACACCUACAUCGCCAGGGAACUACGAGCAAAGCUUAAAACCCAAAGGACUUGACGGUACCCCACAUCCACCUAGAGGAGCCUGUCCUAUAAUCGAUAACCCCCGCUAAACCUCACCAUUUUUGGUUAAUCAGCCUGUAUACCUCCGUCGUCAGCUUACCUCGUGAGCGAUCUAUAGUGAGCUUAAUGUCCACACGUCAAUACGUCAGGUCAAGGUGCAGUAAAUAAAAUGGGAAGAGAUGGGCUACACUCUCUAAUAUAGAAUAUACGAAAGACUAUAUAUGAAACCUAGUCAAAAGGCGGAUUUAGUAGUAAAAAGAGAAAGCUCUUUUUAACACGGCACUGGGGUGUGUACACACCGCCCGUCACCCUCUUCAAUACCAAGAAAUAGUAUAUAACACAUAUCAGUAAACUAGAAGAGGCAAGUCGUAACAUGGUAAGUAUACCGGAAGGUGUGCUUGGAAA